This 513-nucleotide ribosomal RNA is filed under the name uncultured bacterium. RNAcentral's name for it is "partial 16S ribosomal RNA". It matches the Rfam family "Bacterial small subunit ribosomal RNA", at positions 28 to 523 of the family's 1533-position model. The record is from RNAcentral.
GAUGAACGCUGGCGGCGUGCCUAAUACAUGCAAGUCGAGCGAACAGAUAAGGAGCUUGCUCCUUUGAAGUUAGCGGCGGACGGGUGAGUAACACGUGGGUAACCUACCUAUAAGACUGGGAUAACUUCGGGAAACCGGAGCUAAUACCGGAUAACAUUUAGAACCGCAUGGUUCUAAAGUGAAAGAUGGUUUUGCUAUCACUUAUAGAUGGACCCGCGCCGUAUUAGCUAGGUGGUAAGGUAACGGCUUACCAAGGCGACGAUACGUAGCCGACCUGAGAGGGUGAUCGGCCACACUGGAACUGAGACACGGUCCAGACUCCUACGGGAGGCAGCAGUAGGGAAUCUUCCGCAAUGGGCGAAAGCCUGACGGAGCAACGCCGCGUGAGUGAUGAAGGGUUUCGGCUCGUAAAACUCUGUUAUUAGGGAAGAACAAAUGUGUAAGUAACUGUGCAUAUCUUGACGGUACCUAAUCAGAAAGCCACGGCUAACUACGUGCCAGCAGCCGCAGUAA